UUAAAAGUCACCCUAUACGUAUCUUAUUCGAAUAAUCGAACGUUCCGCUCUAGGUGUUCCUGUUCUAUCUCGGGGUAGAUGACUAAACUAAGCCGUUACAUUAUUAGGAUUUAGAAAGCUGAGAGCUACUAAGAUGAGUUUUGACGCGAUUCUAAGGUAUUUUUCAUCCAACAGCUAUAGCCAUCAUCAUGUACCCCACAGUUCUUUUCCAAAUCGGGCUUCCUGGUAUUUAAACUUCUACAGGAAAACUAUGGGAUAUUUGAACCAAGAAUAUAAUUUUAUAAUUUCUCUUAUUGGUAUUACGUCGUUAAUUGUAGGUAUUAGGUAACUUGUUUUCAUCGAUU
This is a non-coding RNA of Cinara cedri, 344 nucleotides long. The record is from the annotation of a GenBank genome assembly. Lineage: Eukaryota; Metazoa; Arthropoda; Insecta; Hemiptera; Aphididae.